Molecule: unclassified non-coding RNA, 29 nt
Filed under: Dictyostelium discoideum
Lineage: Eukaryota; Evosea; Eumycetozoa; Dictyosteliales; Dictyosteliaceae
Source: RNAcentral
GGGGGGAGUAACUAUGACUCUCUUAAGGU